CAGUUCGGACUGCAGUCUGCAACUCGACUGCACGAAGCUGGAAUCGCUAGUAAUCGCAGAUCAGAAUGCUGCGGUGAAUACGUUCCCGGGUCUUGUACACACCGCCCGCCACACCAUGGGAGUCAGUAACGCCCGAAGUCAGUGACCUAACCGCAAGGGAGGAGCUGCCGAAGGCGGGACCGAUAACUGGGGUGAAGUCGUAACAAGGUACC
Molecule: ribosomal RNA, 212 nt
Filed under: uncultured bacterium
Lineage: Bacteria
Description: partial 16S ribosomal RNA
Rfam family: Bacterial small subunit ribosomal RNA
Source: RNAcentral